AUUGAACGCUGGCGGCAUGCCUUACACAUGCAAGUCGAACGGUAACGCGGGGCAACCUGGCGACGAGUGGCGAACGGGUGAGUAAUGCAUCGGAACGUACCCAGUAGUGGGGGAUAGCCCGGCGAAAGCCGGAUUAAUACCGCAUACGACCUACGGGUGAAAGGGGGGGAUCGCAAGACCUCUCGCUAUUGGAGCGGCCGAUGUCAGAUUAGGUAGUUGGUGGGGUAAAAGCCUACCAAGCCUGUGAUCUGUAGCUGGUCUGAGAGGACGACCAGCCACACUGGGACUGAGACACGGCCCAGACUCCUACGGGAGGCAGCAGUGGGGAAUUUUUGGACAAUGGGCGCAAGCCUGAUCCAGCAAUGCCGCGUGCGGGAAGAAGGCCUUCGGGUUGUAAACCGCUUUUGUCAGGGAAGAAAUCUUCUGGGUUAAUACCUCGGGGGGAUGACGGUACCUGAAGAAUAAGCACCGGCUAACUACGUG
Molecule: ribosomal RNA, 483 nt
Filed under: uncultured bacterium
Lineage: Bacteria
Description: bacterial SSU rRNA
Rfam family: Bacterial small subunit ribosomal RNA
Source: RNAcentral